GCCUUCGUGGUGUAGUAGUCAGCACACUCGACGUGUAACCGAGAGGUCGGUGGUUUGAUUCCCGGCGAAGGCA
RNAcentral lists this transfer RNA (73 nucleotides) under Stegodyphus mimosarum. It matches the Rfam family "tRNA". From Rfam's summary of the family: Transfer RNA (tRNA) molecules are approximately 80 nucleotides in length. Their secondary structure includes four short double-helical elements and three loops (D, anti-codon, and T loops). Further hydrogen bonds mediate the characteristic L-shaped molecular structure. tRNAs have two regions of fundamental functional importance: the anti-codon, which is responsible for specific mRNA codon recognition, and the 3' end, to which the tRNAs corresponding amino acid is attached (by aminoacyl-tRNA synthetases). tRNAs cope with the degeneracy of the genetic code in two manners: having more than one tRNA (with a specific anti-codon) for a particular amino acid; and 'wobble' base-pairing, i.e. permitting non-standard base-pairing at the 3rd anti-codon position. The record is from Rfam by way of RNAcentral. Lineage: Eukaryota; Metazoa; Arthropoda; Arachnida; Araneae; Eresidae.